This is a long non-coding RNA of Aethalodelphis obliquidens (Pacific white-sided dolphin), 2243 nucleotides long. RefSeq lists it as uncharacterized. The record is from RefSeq and is a predicted model, not a curated record. The transcript has 2 exons. NCBI's taxonomy places the organism in Eukaryota, Metazoa, Chordata, Mammalia, Artiodactyla, Delphinidae.
CCGCAGCAUGUGGGAUCUUCCCGAACCAGGGCUCAAACCCGUGUCCCCUGCAUUGGCAGGCGGGAUCUUAACCACUGUGCCACCAGGAAAGCCCUGAGUUUGCGUUUGGACUUUAUGUUAAGAAAAGGCUCAGGCCGGCCUCCUUUAGUGUUGACACAGCCACUCCUCCCAGCCUUUGACAACCUUCUGCUCUGGGCCGGGCUGUUUGCAGGAUGGGGGAAAUCAGGCACAAGGAGAUGCUGAGGCGCCACCUCGUGGUUAGAUCUCACAACUGCAGCUCAGGUCCCCCUUUCUGCCUUGCUGCUGAAUUACCAGGAGCAAACUUGGUCUUACCCUGCUAGCCUAGUCCCCUCCCCAUUCCAGAGCCGGGAACUCUCUGACCAUCCCUCACCAAAGUACAGAGCUCAGUCUGCCUUGCACUUUGAGGGUUUAUGCAGGGUUUUUCUUCCUGACCGCACAAGGAAGAGUACUUUGAGAGCAAGGACCAAGGGUAGUUGCCUUUGGCUUUGGGGCCCUUCUAUUCUCUUUUCACUUCCCCAGAUGAUCUCAGUCGCUUCCCUGACUUUAAGGACCCCCUAUACUGACAACUCCUAAAUCUGUCACUUGCCCAGGUCUCUCUCUGAGUUCCAGACGGCAGAGAGCCACUUCCUCCUGGACAUAAGCUAUACGCAUUCACCAUUUACCAAAAUGAGCUUAUAUUUUACACAAACCUGUUUUUCUCUCAGUGUUCCCCGUGACAGUGAGUGGCCCCACUCUCCAGUCACUGGCCCAGAUCAGGAACCUGGGAGUCAUCCUUCGCUCUGUAUCCCUCUUCACUUCCAAUUAAUCACCAAGCCCAAUUAGCUAACUCUGACCUAUACUUUCUCCACCCUCACCGCCACUGGCUCAAUUCAGACUUACUACCUCCUCUCCGAGCUCCCCGACUCAGUCAUCCCUGUUGCAGCCGAAGUCAUCUUUCUGAAAUGCAAAUGGAUCACAUUCCACCUGCUCAAAAAUCCACAGUCUCAACAUGACCCCACAUCCAAACUGCUUAGCCUGGCACACCAGGAACUGUAAGAUCUGGUCCUUGCUCACUGGUCCAACCUCAUCUUCCACCACUCCCCACUUCACACUCUCCACUGUAGCAGUAAUGACCUACUUGCAGUUCCCAAGCUGCGGUCUCUAGGCUUGUCUACCUGGCAAGCUCCUUCUCCCUUCAGGUCUCGCCGCAAAUACUUCCUCCAAGUUUUCCUGGACUUACUCAGCCAGGCUGAGGGGCUCUUAUGCUCCAGCCACACUUUAUUCAGACCCCCCUGGAAGCAACUGCUUACAUCUUUAGGAGCUGUCCUUCGCCUUGUCUGUUUCCUCUCUAGAUUUUAAGCUGCUCCACAGGCAGGGUUUGUCUUUUCAUAUUUUUCAGGGAUUUCAGGGACUUCAUGCCGAGGACAUGACUUUCAGUACAUCCAAUAGAUAAAUGAAUGUUCCUGUCUAUGCACAGCCAACCACAGUGGAGGAUGUGGCAGUGCCACUUGGCCAGAGUCUGCUGACGUGGAGGGGCGGAACUUCACUUGUACACAGGAGCACGAGCGCCCCCCCAGAGGCCUCGCCACAUCAACAUGUGAGUGUGUCACCUGACCUGGCAGUGAAGCGUGUGGGCUGAGAAGUUGGAUGGCCCGCAUGGAGCCUCGACUCUGGCACGUACUGGCUGUAACACCUCGAACAAAUCACCUACCCCUGCUUGAGUGUCUUCACCUGGAGAAUCAGGAUGACGCUCGCUUCAUUGGAUACUUGGGAGGGCUGAAUGAGAGGACACUUGUGAAGUGUGUUUCGCAGGGCAUGUGUGCUGUGAGCUGCUGGGGCCUGGAAGGAAGAAGGUGCAGGACAGACCACACAGAAGCCAUCUUGUCACCAAUGAACAUUUAUUGAGUGUCCACAUGUGCACAGCUUUGAACUGGGCGAUCACAGAACGCACUGGGGGAGGGAAGGGGAGAGGGAAGCAAGGGAUCAGGUUCAUAAGAAAGGUGGUCCCUGCUGGAGCCGCCAGUCGCGUCUCUCUGCAGAGAGGAAUCACAAGCAGGGAUGGGAGUUAAAGCCAGGCACUAGGAUGGUGAUGGGGUGCAGUCACUAGGGAAACAUGCGGAUUCUGGGUAAGCAUCCCUUCGGUUCCUGUCUCCAGCCAGGCCAUAUGGCACCAAGGGGACAGGGAUCAGAUGCUCAGGUGUCCAAGCAGGGAAAAGGGCAGGCAAAAUAAAUAACUCCCCAAC